Long non-coding RNA from Etheostoma spectabile (orangethroat darter), 246 nucleotides. RefSeq lists it as uncharacterized. The record is from RefSeq and is a predicted model, not a curated record. The transcript has 3 exons. NCBI's taxonomy places the organism in Eukaryota, Metazoa, Chordata, Actinopteri, Perciformes, Percidae.
GUUCCACAAUAUAAAUGUAUUUUUGAAUCCCGUCCGUUGGCUGUGUGUCUUAGUUGUUUGAUUUAGAGUCCGCUUGAAACACUAUAAUGAUCAUGUUUCAUCAGCCAGUUACCGUGCCACUUGCACAAGUUACUGCAUAUCAGCGCACGGGUCCACUACGUGACAAACCCUAUGGAGAGUACCACGUGACAUGUGUGCAUAUUUCAACAGAGUGACGAUGUAAGUGAAGAAAUAGAUAGAAUAGAA